This 497-nucleotide ribosomal RNA is filed under the name uncultured bacterium. Its description in RNAcentral is "partial 16S ribosomal RNA". It matches the Rfam family "Bacterial small subunit ribosomal RNA", at positions 28 to 507 of the family's 1533-position model. The record is from RNAcentral.
GAUGAACGCUGGCGGCGUGCCUAAUACAUGCAAGUCGAGCGAACAGAUGAGGAGCUUGCUCCUCUGACGUUAGCGGCGGACGGGUGAGUAACACGUGGAUAACCUACCUAUAAGACUGGGAUAACUUCGGGAAACCGGAGCUAAUACCGGAUAAUAUAUUGAACCGCAUGGUUCAAUAGUGAAAGACGGUUUUGCUGUCACUUAUAGAUGGAUCCGCGCCGCAUUAGCUAGUUGGUAAGGUAACGGCUUACCAAGGCAACGAUGCGUAGCCGACCUGAGAGGGUGAUCGGCCACACUGGAACUGAGACACGGUCCAGACUCCUACGGGAGGCAGCAGUAGGGAAUCUUCCGCAAUGGGCGAAAGCUUGACGGAGCAACGCCGCGUGAGUGAUAAAGGUCUUCGGAUCGUAAAACUCUGUUAUUAGGGAAGAACAAAUGUGUAAGUAACUAUGCACGUCUUGACGGUACCUAAUCAGAAAGCCACGGCUAACUACGUG